Molecule: long non-coding RNA, 407 nt
Organism: Phyllopteryx taeniolatus (common seadragon)
Lineage: Eukaryota; Metazoa; Chordata; Actinopteri; Syngnathiformes; Syngnathidae
Exons: 2
Source: RefSeq, a predicted model, not a curated record
AAUCAAAACUGUGAAAAGAUUGUCGGUACCCCCUACCCACCCUUGAGGACUUGCACGCUGCCAGAACUAAGACAAGAGCGUGCAAAAUCCUCUCUGACCCACCACAUCCCCGUCACAAGCUCUUCCAGCUACUUCCCUCAGAUGUUGCCGUGGCCCAAUGGUUAAGAUCAUCACCUACCACCGUGGGGGACCUGGGUUCAAGACCCUGACUGGACCAUCUGUCAACAUCAUCCGGACUCACGGCUGUGGUGACCUUGAGCAAGACACUGAUACACCGAAAUGCUCCCCGGGCGCUUCAGCUGCCCCCUGCUCCAGUGUGUUCCACUAACGUGUAUGUGUUCACUGUGAUGGGUUAAAUGCAGAGAACUGAAUUCAUGCAUGUUCAUGACAAUAAAAGGUGAUUCUUC